UACGAAGGGGGCUAGCGUUGUUCGGAAUUACUGGGCGUAAAGCGCGUGUAGGCGGGUCUUUAAGUCAGAGGUGAAAUGCCAAGGCUCAACCUUGGAACUGCCUUUGAUACUGGAGAUCUUGAGUCCGGGAGAGGUGAGUGGAAUUGCGAGUGUAGAGGUGAAAUUCGUAGAUAUUCGCAAGAACACCAGUGGCGAAGGCGGCUCACUGGCCCGGAACUGACGCUGAGACGCGAAAGCGUGGGGAGCAAACAGG
This 253-nucleotide ribosomal RNA is filed under the name uncultured bacterium. RNAcentral describes it as "partial 16S ribosomal RNA". It matches the Rfam family "Bacterial small subunit ribosomal RNA", at positions 524 to 776 of the family's 1533-position model. The record is from RNAcentral.